This 414-nucleotide ribosomal RNA is filed under the name uncultured bacterium. RNAcentral's name for it is "bacterial SSU rRNA". It matches the Rfam family "Bacterial small subunit ribosomal RNA", at positions 358 to 774 of the family's 1533-position model. The record is from RNAcentral.
GGAAUAUUCCACAAUGGGGGAAACCCUGAUGGAGCGACGCCGCGUGAGUGAAGAAGGGCUUCGGCUCGUAAAGCUCUUUUCUCGUUGACGAAUUAGCUCUUGGGGCAGUUGACGGUAGACGGGGAAUAAGCCACGGCUAACUACGUGCCAGCAGCCGCGGUAAUACGUAGGUGGCAAGCGUUAUCCGGAUUUAUUGGGCGUAAAGCGAGCGCAGGCGGUUUCUUAAGUCUGAUGUGAAAGCCUUCGGCUUAACCGAAGAAGUGCAUCGGAAACUGGGAAACUUGAGUGCAGAAGAGGACAGUGGAACUCCAUGUGUAGCGGUGAAAUGCGUAGAUAUAUGGAAGAACACCAGUGGCGAAGGCGGCUGUCUGGUCUGUAACUGACGCUGAGGCUCGAAAGCAUGGGUAGCGAACA